CGACUUCAGCGCGCAAGGUAUGCUGUAUCAUUUCUAGAUGCAAGCUGCUAUUUUUGGGAACAAAGAAUAGAGCGGUGAAGGAUUCUGAAGAAACUCAUAUAAGGGGUAUUAAUGGUGGCAGAAAACAAACGGAAUUGCAGUGCCCAGGGAGGUGCAAUGGCCAAAGAAGCUGCUGUGAUGAUUGGACAGACGAAAAGGAAAUGUAAAGAAGGGAAAUCAAGGUUAUGCUAUCUCUCUAUUUGGCAGUGGUGUUACUGCUACUAAAGUAGCCCCAUUCAGUUAUCUGCAGUUCGAGAAGGAUGAUGAUAAAUUGGAGACACUACAGAGAAGAGUACUGAUAAUGAUUAAAGGAUUGGAAAAUGGCUUAUUUUCAAAGAUAGUGAUCUGUUUAACUUAUCAAUGAAGCAACUUAUCAGUCUAGAAGAACUGAUGUGUGGGAAAAGAGCUAACAGAGAACUCUUCACUCUGUACACUCUCCUCUGUAGGGAGGAUCUGCAGCUGGAAGUUAAAGACAACGCAGGCAUAAAUCCUGCAGAUCCAGACUUCUCAGAAGUGGUGUUUUUGAGGUGUCAAAAUGUCUGGUUGGCUAUCUAAUUAAAUAUCAAGGACAAUAACAAUCUAACUCUGGCUUAGAUAAAUUACAUCUCUAACUCUGUCAGCCAUGAAAGAUUGAAAAAAGCAUAACCGAGAUAUGUGAGGUAAGCACAGUUUUUUCAUAAAUGUACCAAAAGUGGAACUGAAAGUACACUUGAAUUUAUAGUGUUUAAAUUUACCAUUUUUAAGUAAAACUUUGAAUUCAAAAUAACCAUUA
RNAcentral lists this long non-coding RNA (811 nucleotides) under Struthio camelus australis. Its description in RNAcentral is "lncRNA (ENSSCUG00000016401.1)". The record is from RNAcentral. Lineage: Eukaryota; Metazoa; Chordata; Aves; Struthioniformes; Struthionidae.